ACUCAAAUGAAUAGACGGGGGCCCGCACAAGCGGUGGAGCAUGUGGAUUAAUACGUCACUAACCGUAGAACCUUACCCAGGCUUGACAUCUGAGGAAGCCCCUUGAAAGGGGGGUGUGCUCCGCAAGGAGAGCCUCAAGACAGGUGUUGCAUGGCUGUCGUCAGCUCGUGUCGUGAGAUGUUGGGUUAAGUCCCGCAACGAGCGCAACCCUCACCGUAUGUUGCCAGCGUCAAGACGGGCACUCUUACGGAACUGCCCGGGUAACCGGGAGGAAGGUGGGGACGACGUCAAGUCAGCAUGGCCCUUACGCCUGGGGCUUCACACAUGCUACAAUGGCCGGUACAAUGGGUUCCGAGGCCGCGAGGCGGAGGCAAUCCCCAAAGCCGGUCCCAGUUCGGAUCGCAGGCUGCAACUCGCCUGCGUGAAGGUGGAAUCGCUAGUAACCGCCGGUCAGCUAAACGGCGGUGAAUACGUUCCCGGGCCUUGCACACACCGCCCGU
RNAcentral lists this ribosomal RNA (500 nucleotides) under uncultured bacterium. Its description in RNAcentral is "partial 16S ribosomal RNA". It matches the Rfam family "Bacterial small subunit ribosomal RNA", at positions 899 to 1397 of the family's 1533-position model. The record is from RNAcentral.